This 468-nucleotide ribosomal RNA is filed under the name uncultured bacterium. RNAcentral's name for it is "partial 16S ribosomal RNA". It matches the Rfam family "Bacterial small subunit ribosomal RNA", at positions 28 to 507 of the family's 1533-position model. The record is from RNAcentral.
GACGAACGCUGGCGGCGUGCUUAACACGUGCAAGUCGAACGGAAAGGCCCUGCUUUUGUGGGGUGCUCGAGUGGCGAACGGGUGAGUAACACGUGAGUAACCUGCCCUUGACUUUGGGAUAACUUCAGGAAACUGGGGCUAAUACCGGAUAGGAGCUCCUGCUGCAUGGUGGGGGUUGGAAAGUUUCGGCGGUUGGGGAUGGACUCGCGGCUUAUCAGCUUGUUGGUGGGGUAGUGGCUUACCAAGGCUUUGACGGGUAGCCGGCCUGAGAGGGUGACCGGUCACAUUGGGACUGAGAUACGGCCCAGACUCCUACGGGAGGCAGCAGUGGGGAAUAUUGCACAAUGGGCGGAAGCCUGAUGCAGCAACGCCGCGUGCGGGAUGACGGCCUUCGGGUUGUAAACCGCUUUCGCCUGUGACGAAGCGUGAGUGACGGUAAUGGGUAAAGAAGCACCGGCUAACUACGUG